AAGAUGAAUCAAUUGGAAGACUCGCCGAGGAAAACUCCACAAGAUGGACAAUAAUGUUUCUUAACUAAACAAGUAUCCAUACAAUAAGCAGUCCUGUCCGCCGAAGUGUCGUCAUCGUACAGAAGUACGCGCAGAUGCCGGAUAUAUCAGGCGCAUGAAACGAAAGGGGUUAACAAGAGCGUAAUAAUUUUAUAUAAAAAAAAAAAAAA
Molecule: long non-coding RNA, 209 nt
Organism: Polistes dominula (European paper wasp)
Lineage: Eukaryota; Metazoa; Arthropoda; Insecta; Hymenoptera; Vespidae
Gene: awd
Source: RefSeq, a predicted model, not a curated record